UUCAGGAGGGCAGUGUUGGGUACCACUGUCCUGGGUGCCUGGCAGAGCUCGUGCACUGGCAUCCAGAACAGCGGUACCCAAGGUUGCUCACGUGCUACUGGA
Molecule: microRNA precursor, 102 nt
Filed under: Gallus gallus (chicken)
Lineage: Eukaryota; Metazoa; Chordata; Aves; Galliformes; Phasianidae
Description: microRNA 1663 (MIR1663)
Source: RNAcentral